UGAGGAAUAUUGCACAAUGGACGCAAGUCUGAUGCAGCAACGCCGCGUGGAGGAUGAAGGCCCUUGGGUCGUAAACUCCUUUUUUCGGGGAAGAGAGAGGACGGUACCCGAAGAAUAAGUCACGGCUAACUACGUGCCAGCAGCCGCGGUAAUACGUAGGUGGCAAGCGUUAUCCGGAAUUACUGGGCGUAAAGCGCACGCAGGCGGUCUUGUAAGUUUGACGUGAAAGCUCCCGGCUUAACUGGGAGAGGUCGUUGAAUACUGCGAGACUUGAGUUUAGGAGAGGGGUGUAGAAUUCCCGGUGUAGUGGUGGAAUGCGUAGAUAUCGGGGGGAAUACCAGUGGCGAAAGCGGCACCCUAGCCUUUGACUGACGCUCAGGUGCGAAAGCGUGGGGAGCGAACGG
Molecule: ribosomal RNA, 404 nt
Filed under: uncultured bacterium
Lineage: Bacteria
Description: bacterial SSU rRNA
Rfam family: Bacterial small subunit ribosomal RNA
Source: RNAcentral